RNAcentral lists this ribosomal RNA (468 nucleotides) under uncultured bacterium. RNAcentral's name for it is "partial 16S ribosomal RNA". It matches the Rfam family "Bacterial small subunit ribosomal RNA", at positions 28 to 507 of the family's 1533-position model. The record is from RNAcentral.
GAUGAACGCUGGCGGCGUGCUUAACACAUGCAAGUCGAACGGAAAGGCCCAAGCUUGCUUGGGUACUCGAGUGGCGAACGGGUGAGUAACACGUGGGUGAUCUGCCCUGCACUUCGGGAUAAGCCUGGGAAACUGGGUCUAAUACCGGAUAGGACGAUGGUUUGGAUGCCAUUGUGGAAAGUUUUUUCGGUGUGGGAUGAGCUCGCGGCCUAUCAGCUUGUUGGUGGGGUAAUGGCCUACCAAGGCGUCGACGGGUAGCCGGCCUGAGAGGGUGUACGGCCACAUUGGGACUGAGAUACGGCCCAAACUCCUACGGGAGGCAGCAGUGGGGAAUAUUGCACAAUGGGCGCAAGCCUGAUGCAGCGACGCCGCGUGGGGGAUGACGGCCUUCGGGUUGUAAACUCCUUUCGCUAGGGACGAAGCGUUUUUGUGACGGUACCUGGAGAAGAAGCACCGGCUAACUACGUG